This 485-nucleotide ribosomal RNA is filed under the name uncultured bacterium. RNAcentral describes it as "partial 16S ribosomal RNA". It matches the Rfam family "Bacterial small subunit ribosomal RNA", at positions 28 to 523 of the family's 1533-position model. The record is from RNAcentral.
GACGAACGCUGGCGGCGUGCUUAACACAUGCAAGUCGAACGAUGAAGCCGGAGCUUGCUCUGGUGAAGUAGUGGCGAACGGGUGAGUAACACGUGAGUAACCUGCCCUUGACUCUGGGAUAACUGCGGGAAACUGUAGCUAAUACCGGAUACGACCACUUCUCGCAUGGGAUGGUGGUGGAAAGUUUGUUCGGCCAGGGAUGUGCUCGCGGCCUAUCAGCUUGAUGGUGAUGUAAUGGCUCACCAUGGCUUCGACGGGUAGCCGGCCUGAGAGGGUGACCGGUCACACUGGGACUGAGACACGGCCCAGACUCCUACGGGAGGCAGCAGUGGGGAAUAUUGGACAAUGGGCGGAAGCCUGAUCCAGCAACGCCGCGUGAGGGAUGACGGCCUUCGGGUUGUAAACCUCUUUCAGCAGGGACGAAGCGCAAGUGACGGUACCUGCAGAAGAAGCACCGGCCAACUACGUGCCAGCCGCCGCAGUAA